RNAcentral lists this ribosomal RNA (497 nucleotides) under uncultured bacterium. RNAcentral's name for it is "partial 16S ribosomal RNA". It matches the Rfam family "Bacterial small subunit ribosomal RNA", at positions 28 to 507 of the family's 1533-position model. The record is from RNAcentral.
GAUGAACGCUGGCGGCGUGCCUAAUACAUGCAAGUAGAACGCUGAAGCUUGGUGCUUGCACCGAGCGGAUGAGUUGCGAACGGGUGAGUAACGCGUAGGUAACCUGCCUCUUAGCGGGGGAUAACUAUUGGAAACGAUAGCUAAUACCGCAUAAAAGUCGAUAUCGCAUGAUAUUGAUUUGAAAGGUGCAAAUGCAUCACUAAGAGAUGGACCUGCGUUGUAUUAGCUAGUUGGUGAGGUAACGGCUCACCAAGGCGACGAUACAUAGCCGACCUGAGAGGGUGAUCGGCCACACUGGGACUGGGACACGGCCCAGACUCCUACGGGAGGCAGCAGUAGGGAAUCUUCGGCAAUGGGGGCAACCCUGACCGAGCAACGCCGCGUGAGUGAAGAAGGUUUUCGGAUCGUAAAGCUCUGUUGUAAGGGAAGAACGAGUGUGAGAGUGGAAAGUUCACACUGUGACGGUAACUUACCAGAAAGGGACGGCUAACUACGUG